UAGUUGCCUAUCGAAUUCUCGGCUACAACUUUAAGUUUGGAAACUACUGAACAGUACCAUGUGUUUGAAAGCUAGCCACAAAGAAAGUUCAGUCGCGACCAAACUUGCCAAACAGUGUUUCAAUUCUAUAGGAGUUAACCUGUGGUGCUAAUGCAGUUGAGUUCAUCAUCAACCACGCUGAAGUUUCAAUAGCUUUUGUUCAAGAUAACAAAAUCCCUGCUGACUACUGGAAAGUUAUUGUCCCAAACAGUGACCGACUGCAUAAGUAAUAUAUACUGAUGCACAUCUGGAGAUUGGAAAGCUGUAAUUAGUACUAAUGCAGCAAUGUUGGUAAAGCAUUGUCUAUGGACCAAAUGUGAC
Rosa chinensis is the source of this 360-nucleotide long non-coding RNA. RefSeq lists it as uncharacterized. Lineage: Eukaryota; Viridiplantae; Streptophyta; Magnoliopsida; Rosales; Rosaceae. The transcript has 3 exons. The record is from RefSeq and is a predicted model, not a curated record.